This 253-nucleotide ribosomal RNA is filed under the name uncultured bacterium. Its description in RNAcentral is "partial 16S ribosomal RNA". It matches the Rfam family "Bacterial small subunit ribosomal RNA", at positions 524 to 776 of the family's 1533-position model. The record is from RNAcentral.
UACGUAGGGGGCAAGCGUUAUCCGGAUUUACUGGGUGUAAAGGGAGCGUAGACGGCGAUGCAAGUCUGAAGUGAAAGGCGGGGGCCCAACCCCCGGACUGCUUUGGAAACUGUAUAGCUGGAGUGCAGGAGAGGUAAGUGGAAUUCCUAGUGUAGCGGUGAAAUGCGUAGAUAUUAGGAGGAACACCAGUGGCGAAGGCGGCUUACUGGAUUGUAACUGACGUUGAGGCUCGAAAGCGUGGGGAGCAAACAGG